Molecule: non-coding RNA, 7156 nt
Organism: Xyrichtys novacula (pearly razorfish)
Lineage: Eukaryota; Metazoa; Chordata; Actinopteri; Labriformes; Labridae
Source: the annotation of a GenBank genome assembly
AAGAAAGAAAGCUGUGUGAUGGCGAGCUGACUGCAGACUAUUGGCCUGACCUGGAGGAAAAAAGCCCCCUCUGUGCAUGGCUCAGGGUGAGAUCCAUACUUUGCCCUCUCUCUUCCCUUCUCACUUACCUUUUUCUCUUUCUUAGUAGGGAGGAGGGAUGUAGGUAAUGAAGCUUAAGUGAGCCUGGUGUCUGGUAAUGUAAUAUACACAAAGCCCUUGUCAGGUCUGGAUCCAAUAAUGUGUCAUUUACCACGUCUGGAACAGAUUGGCCCAGAUGAUCGGAGUGAACCUUUGCCCGGGUGAAGAGUGCUCAGCAUCCCUCGGCCUGGAGGCCUUACAAGCAGGCCCUUGACUCACCCCAUGUCCCCUGCACCUUUCACCUCUUCUCACCCAUCUCUCAUAAAAGCCAAAGCAUGCCUCGGACGAGAUAGUUUGUGUGACAAUUUGUGAGCAUUUGUAUCAGUCGUAUUAUUUGCAGCUUGAAGAGCUUUCUUUAAUAAAAAGUUUUUGAAACAGUCGCCGUGAGCAGAAAGUUUCAUCAAGUAACAAAUGUUUUAGAUGAGCAGACAUUUUAAAUUCUGCCCAUUUUCACACCUAGAUACUCUUUUUGAAACACUUCUUAAUACAUGUUGUUUUUUUUGACACAAAAUUUGCCUGUUUUAAUGUUAAUCUAUAAUCUAAUGUUAAUCUAUACAAAUGUUCACUGUCUUCUUGCAGUCCCCGGGAAGAGUAGCUGUUACUUAAGUAGUAGCUAAUGGGGAUCCAAAUAAAUAAAUAAAUAUCAAUCAGCUCAAAAAACAAUUUUCCACCCAGACAGGAAACAGAAGAGAAGUGACAAACAUAGAUGCCUGACAGCUCUGAAUUAUAUUAACUAGGAUUACAGGAGCAGAAGUUUAGAUGUUAUGAGCUGUGGAUGUACUUAAAUAGUAGGAAAGCAUGCAGCACUCUAUUUUUUAUUAUUGUGGACCCAAAAUGUCAUUCUUUGUGUCCAAACUGUGGUGCAGCCACUGCUAACAGCUAGAGGUGCAUUUUGCGUUAAUGGCUACUGUAACGCUAUACUGUUCUUCUAUUGGUUUAAACAAGCACGGAUGACAGGGAGCAACUGCUGCACAGCACAGUUUGACAAUAAUUUGAUUUAGAAAAUAGAAAAAUAGAGAAGAUAAAUGUAAGCACUUGACCUGAAGUAUGCAUAUCCAGCACAUAAACAGACUUAAACUAGCAAAGACAACCAAAAGCACUGCUGAUGUUAGCCAUAAUCAACAAACAAAUUGAACAUUAUUUACGCGCAGACUCUAUGAUCUCAUGCUUAGCAGUGUUUAGUAUAUUUUCCUCAAAGACACAACUGCUUUUUGAUGCUGAGUCAGCAGAAACCACUAAUAUUGGGAUGCCACUAGGAUCCUUCCUUGGCCCAUUAAUUUUUUACAAACUAGAUAAACAGCACAGCAUCUUCUCACAAGUAUUUCUAAAUCACUCUUUAUGCAGACAAUGUACUACAAUGAACUCACCUUAGAUUCAUGUUCCUGUUACUACUCAGUCAUCUAUUCAUCACUGACUAGAUUUUAUCACUGACAAAACAAUACCAAAGUGUUUUCUCUACCUGUCUAUCAAAACUUUUCAAAAAAGUGUUUGAUAACAUCAGAUACUCUGAUUAACAUCGGGGUAUAAUAGCAGGAUUCUCACCCUGACAGUGUUUUCAAACAUUAAGUAAAAGUCUAGUUUUGGAGAGCUUUUGUUUUCUUAGGGGACCAGGGUGGGUUCACAGAAUGAGAUCAUGUUGCUAAUUACUGGUAGUAGUGGACUGUGUUUUAGAAAAGCAGCUUAUCAGCAAUUUGUGGAGACAGGGAGAGUGCAUUUGCUCAUAGUGGUAAUUACCAGAGCAGGGUCCAAUGAAGUUGCUGUAAAUGCAGGUCUAGAAGGGCAUGUGUGCGAUUUCACCACUCCAUCUCUGGUUGCCUGAGUCCCGGGCCCAGCCUCUGGCCCACACAGAGAGCGCUGGGCCUUGGAGGUCUACAGCUGUGGAUGAGAAAGAAGAGAAAUGCAAGGAGAUAUAUUGGGUGUGGAGGUCCAGAUUUUGAAAAGUCCAGUUUUAGUUUAGUUUUUCUGUUUUUUUCUUCUUUUUCUUUACCUUCAAGUCUGAUCUUUGACAUUAAGUAUCGACUAAAAAACUGUUCUGGCCUGUGGAAAGCGAUCAGUGGUAGGAAAGAGCUAUUAAGACAAUGCAGCUGCUGUUUAUAUCCUUGCACCUCCUUUAAAUUAAUGCAUUUUUGACUAAGCAAGAGACCGUGGAGGACAGUCUUUAACACUCCCACCCGCCUUAUUACACACUCCAAAUGUGCAAUGUUGUGCUCACCCAGGCGGAGUCGUUCUGGAGGCCCCUGAGGAGCACUGUAGCUGCCCUCUGCAGCGCCGGCUCUGAUUUAGUAGCAUUAAUAAACAUGAUGUAGUGCUUACAGUGAUAGCGCAGACAGGAUUGUUUCUUUUUUACUUCUCGUUUUUUGAUACCUGCACACAGCUCCACAUGUUUACAUUGGGAGCUAAGAGAAAUAGAGAAAAUAUGGAUUUGCAUGGUUUAUUUCAGUCUAAUUUAAUUAUUCACCAAAAAGGGACGGUAAAAAUCCUGUUCAGGGCAGAUGCAGCACUGUCAGCACAUAGAGCUCAGAUCCUGUCAUGUUACUUUUUGGAGCAAAUCCAGCAACUUGUUGAGCUAAAAUAACAUAUGACGGGAGUUUGACUCAGAGAAAUCCAUGUGUCUAGUCAUGCGAGAUAAGGUUUAAAGGAAUUCCUCACUGAUUAAAAGACAAUUUGCUUGUUCGAGCCUCUUCAAAUAUGCAACUAUACCCAAUAAGUUGGAUUUAUGAAGUGCCUGCCAGCUUCUCCACGGCGCAAAUCUUCUAGCAACAUGUUCCCGGCGCAGAGCCCACAUGGCCAGCCACAGCUGGCUCUUAUUACAGACCCAUACAGUAGCCAUUCUUUUUCACUUACCCCCCUCCCUGUUUGGUGACGCUUAUUAGAAAUGUAACAUACUAGUCUGGGAGUUUGUUACAGAUUUAUUCGUCACAGGUGCUCCUUCUAAAGAGUGUGCAGGGGUGCUGAGCAAUCUGUGGCAAGACAACAUAUCAACAUGUAGGAAGGAGUGAGUAACACCUUUUUUAAACUUUCAACUCUGUCUCUGAACUCGACUCAUUGUUCAUGAAAAAUGAACAGAGAAUAGGAUUUUAUCUCGUAAAAGUCUAUCACUAUCAUUUCAUUAAAACCUACUGUGUGUAUAAAUGGGAAUAUAGCAGUAUGUUGCGAGAUUGAAAUGCUAUGUGGCUCACCACUCCUGGUGAACCUGCAAAAGCAAGUCACCUUUGAGGACAAGAUGCUGCUGUGAUACGUAACAAGUAUGAUCUUCUGCAGGAGAAGUAUUUCAGAUGGCGGCUCACAGAACAACAAAGCAAACAAACAAAGUAUUGCCUUUACUAGUUUGUCCAUUCUGGGCUCCACAGUAGAAACUUGGUGGUGCAAGAUGUUGACCCCAGCUCUUCAUGUAGUUACAAAAAGGUCCAUUCUGAAUCAACGAAAAAAUUAAAAAUAAAUUGUGACAUACUUUUGAGUAUUGAAGUCAACUUCCACCAGGUCUGCUCUGUUAAACAGUACCAAACUCUACCAUUAAGGGAAGCUUAGCAUAUGAAUUAAAAGUAUGUGUAUUUAAAGCUACUGUAAGGAUUUUUCAGAUGGUUAUUAAAAAGACUGAAAUAAAUGUCGAUGCCUCUUAAAGACCCCCACAAGCAAACGAGACUGCUAGAAUGGAAAUCGAAUUUUUCAGUAUCCUAAUUUUCGAUGUCUGAAACUGCUGGUGCAGAUUCUGGUGCACGACGAGUUAUGGUGUAUUGUUUUAUUGACUGGGGGGGCGACAAAAUCAACACAAACUGAAAGUUCCUCAUAGGACAUUUAAGUUAUUAUAUUUUUCAAGUGGUAAAACAUAAAAAAUUAAAAACAUAUAAAUAUCUAUUCUAUUUCAGUUUUUUUAUUUUGCAUGGGGACUCUAUGAUCUUGAAAUAUGGUGGAGUUUGUUGAUUGACUGCAUUAAAGCUUCAUUCCAUUCAGAGUAAACAUAUUUUAAAUACUUACUCAACAUCUAUGCAGGGAUCAUCUAAAAAGUAAAUGGUUUAUUCAAUUUCCAAAGUACUAAAGGGAAUGUAAGUGUUUGCAAGUAGCAUAGCAUAGUUAAGCCAACUUAUCCAACUCUUUUAUUUGAGUUGUAAGUACUUUAUCUAUUCCAUUAUAUAAAAAUAAGUCUCAAAAUAUUUUACAUCACAAAUAUCAAAAAGUGCAGUUUACUUCUGAACAUAAUUCAAUGGAAAAUGUGCUCAGUCACUGUAAUCAGAGAAUGACUCUCCAUGUUGUAAGGGUUGUCUGUAUUAGAAUGAAUUUCCAGAGCCGCCUCUUGAUGGACUCUGACUGGUACCUGCUGUAUCUGCUGCCUGUCUGUCAACACCACAUCCCCUGAGCGUGAGCGUGUGUGCCGGCAGACCGUUUCACCUCGAGUCUUGCAGUGUGACUGCUGCCAACACAUAGGGGAAGAACACACUCCUGCCCAGAAACAUAUAACAGGAUCCUGAGUGACUCCUGCCUCCGAGCAAGCAGGGACACAUCUAAAGAAAGCAUUCUUGUUCAUGCUGCACAACAUGUGACCAGAGGUGAUGAGUUCACGGACUAAGCUUUGAGUCGUGAGCCGGGCUCCUGACAAUGACUGUCUCUUUCCAGCUUUGCCUCGAGUUUCACGGGCCGCUCCCCCUCAGAAGUGUUCCCCCCCUGCCCCUGUCUCGACUCCUCACUUUGUCUCAAUGCUCAACUACACCUCUCCGGUUACUUGGCACCACACCUCCUGGUUGUUAUCCCCUCUGCCUCUUCUCCUUUGACUCCAUCCUCGCCCUCUCAUGCUGAGGGGGGGGGACCCUCAGUGCCUUUAAUGUGGCCUUGGCCCUGUGUUCCUCCUGUCUGUUGGGCUGAUCCAGGGGCAGUGGGUCCCCCGCUCCACCCUGGGUGAUUGAUGGCAGGGAUGCCCUCUCCUCUCACCCUCCACGCCGCACCCCCGGCUAGGCGGACAGCAUAGCGUUUCAUGAGCUCAUCUGUGUGGCGCCCACCUCAAACGCAGGCACCACUCUUGUCUCGUCCCGCAUGACUCCCUGGGGGACACAAAGCAUGUGUGACCUCGCUUUAGCCAGCCUGCAACCCCAUCUCCACACCACCCUCUAGCACCCUCACUGUAUCAUCCCUGUCUGUGGCUUUGUCCUCCAAGGUCUUCACUCUGAACUAAAACAAGAAUAUCUUUUUACUCUGCUUGACAUUUUCAUUCAUGCACCUUUAUCUUCACCUCUGUUGCAAAGAGUACUCAUCUGUGUACUUGUAUGUAUGCUAGGCUAAAGCACAAGUUUUUGUACAGCCCUGAAUCUUCUCAGAAGUUACCCAAGGACAUUUUAAAACCAUCAGGUUGAGACUAUAUUCUUUUUUAUGUUUCCACAAAAACCCAACAACAAUCCACCCUGAGCAGCUGCCUUUACCUAUCUAAAAGCAACCACCUCCAGUGUCAAAUACUCAAGCCAUUGUGGAGGAGCAACAAUCUUCAGCUCCUCAAAUUUCCACUUGAGGCUGACUCCAAUGCCAAGGAAUCCGCACUAGGUCCCAUGUUAAGAUGCCCAUUUUUUUUCGCAAAAUUAGCCAGGUUAAAACAAAGUUUGGGUUGCUGGGCUAAUUUAUUUUUCUUUUUUUUUCACAAUGCAUUUAUCAAACCAGUGAGUUACACCGCAGAGACCCUACCAUGACUUUUUGUUGUUGUUACAUAACACAUUGGUUCCCAUCCUGGGGGUCGGCCCCCCUUAGGGAAGAGUAAGGCUUUGUCUGUUCAGAGGUUGUUAACUGAAACUUACACAAAUUCACUGAAACCCACAUAAAACACUUCCUGGAUGGUUUUGCAUAGCUAUGUCUGUAACUCGCAUUGCAAAAGAUACAUUCUUCCUCACUUCUUUUUGAUAAGAACAUUUAAACUGAGAGUUUCUUGACUUCACUUUCUGUGAGGAUCUCUAGAGACUCUGCUUUUUUACUACACAAGAAAGGGGAGGGGCCUCAGAAAAAUGGUUGGGAAUCAUGGAGGGUAACACAGGCACCUCAAUUUUUCUCCAAACCUAACCAAGUUGUUCGAGGGUAUCAGACGGACAUACCUUUCUUAAGCAGUUCAUUGCAGUUUAAAAUGACCUGUUCAGUUUUUGCAUCAGCAACUCUGCAUGCAAUACAGCUGACUUUCAGACAAGAGUUAUUUUGAAUCAGACGACUCUGUAAAACCUCAGCUAGUGUUCAGUAUCUAUGAUUUUUGCAUCAAUGUUUUACAGUUUUUGACUGCGCAUGACAAUCUCAGAUUGAAGUUAGGAAAAACCUGACAGUGGAAAAGGUCCAUUCCCAAUGGUUAAGGUUUGGGUAUACAACUGCACAUUGAGCUAAGUCAGCGGAUAAUUUCAUCUUCAGGGAAAGAUCACGGUUUGGGUUGAAGUGACUUUGCCGAUAAGUUUAGGAGACCUUUUCAACACAGUCACAAUCAUGACUGUGGAGAACAAUUGUGGUCAUGCUUAACAAAAAUAAAACGUGAAACAUGCAAUGAUCUAACCAUUUGUUGAUCAUCUAUCCACUUUGAGCUCCUUCCUUUGUGAACUCUGUAGUUCACUACCAUCUCACUCCAGUUUCUGCUUUGCUACUGUCUUAACUUCAGUCAAAUGUCACCUGUGGUGUUUUAGGUCUUUGUUUGGAUGACAUGUUGAUGGUUUUCCUGGCCUCAUGAUGAUAUUUAUCAGAAAUCAACCAGCCCUGAUCAAAACAAAAUGACUGGAAAAUCCUAAAAGUUGUGAUGCUAGAACUCAUGAGUGUUAGUUUUUUGACUUAAUCAAAUAAAUAAAUCCUUAAAAAUUGUUCCCGUUUCAUUUGUUAUUGAUUGAUGUAUUAUUUGUUUCUUGUGCCCCUCAACCUUUUAUCCAGCUGCCCAGUUUACCUUAACCUCCCCUCAGGAGGCCAGGAGGGACCGAUCCUCCUCUGCAUGUACGACAUUCCAGGCAGGAAGGAAUCUGAGGACACUGAUCACCUAAUCUCUCUGACUGCAGCAGCACCUGUCGAGGCAGCACUGGAG